Molecule: small nuclear RNA, 110 nt
Organism: Gorilla gorilla gorilla (western lowland gorilla)
Lineage: Eukaryota; Metazoa; Chordata; Mammalia; Primates; Hominidae
Source: Ensembl
GUGACCCACCACGCCUGGCCACAUAUAUUAAAAUUGGAAUGUUACAGAGAAGAUUAGCAUGGCCCCCAAGCAAGGAUGACAGGCAAAUUUGUGAAGUGUUCCGUAUUUUU